AUGGACAGGGAGGACGCUGGUGGGCUACAGUGCUCGUGCCCCACACCACGAAGUUCUGGGUGGUCUCGCAGCUACAUGUGUUCGGCGCAUCCAGCCGGGUGCUCCGGGGAGCGCGACGUGGCGAGGACUGCUGUUUCUAAUUACUGCAGAAUCAGGAGGCAAAGGCGAGAAGCACUGCCAGCCUGGUGGGCCGCUGUGGAAACAGACGGUCGCAGUUAUUGGGUUCCUGGGGCUGGCAGGGCCUGGCCGCCUGACUGGUCACUAGGAAGUGAGGGUUUGCUUUUCCCCAAAACUCAACAUCUGAAUAAUUGAAGGGGACACCACAAUCAAUCUAUGCUGUAGUGUGCUCUUGGUUUUGCACUAAGUGCUGGGGCUGGGUGGACGCAGGGGUGGAAAGGGGGUGGUGGGGAGUAAGGAUAAUAUAAGUAGUAAUGAACACAGCUCUGCCCUUCUAGAAGCUUCCAUGAUAGGUAGGGACCAAAGACAAAGUAGCUCAAUUCAUCCAUCUGAUGGCUUUAUUGAGAGCUGCCCUUGUGGAGUUUAUAGUCAGUGGGGGAGAGAGAGAGGAAUCCAAUGUUAUCACACUUAUACAGCUGCUAAUAGUCAAUGCAGUGCAAAGUCAGGAGCUAGUAGGGCAUAAAUGGGGACCUGGUUUGUCCAGGGGUCAAAGGAGGAUCUCCAGAUGAAGGGGGGCUAUAAGCUCCAUCAUGAGCAUGGAAAAGAGAGGUUACUCUAAGGAAGAGUUUGGAAAGAAUUAAAAAAGCUGUGUGGACAUAUGCAGGGGUGAAGAACAGGGGUGUUAAAGAUGACUAGAUGAUUUCUAAGUUUCCAACAAGAGUACCUGAAAAUCAAAGAUGCUCUUGUCAGACCGGGAGGUUGGGGGAUGGGGAGUCCAUUUGCAGGGAAAGCAGUAUAGAAUGGGGCUUCCCAGUUGGUGCUAGUGGUAAAGAACCCUCCUGCCAAUGCAGGUAGAUAUAAGAGACACAGGUUUGAUCCCUGGGUCGGGAAGAUCCCCCGGAGGAGGGCAUGGCAACCCACUCUAGUAUUCUCUCCUGAAGGAUCCAUGGACAGAGGGGCCUGGUGGGCUGCAGUCCAUGGGGUCUCAGAGAGUCGGACGCAACUGAGCAAUGUAGCACACGUGCGUGUACAGCACAGAGCGUGGCAGCUCAGAGGCCAGAGGGAGGGACUGGAGGGUCUUCGGGAGACUGGGAGUCAAGGAGGGGCAUGGUGUGACUUCUAUGUGACAAGCAUGCUGGGAAUGCUGUGUGGAGACAGACUGUUAUGUAGGGGGAAGGGGGCAGAGGGAGCAGAUAGGAGACUAAAGCAGUGAUCCAGGUGAGGGGUGAUGGCGAUCUGGACUAGAGUGGAAGCUGGGGACGUAAUGAGAAGAGGUCAGAUUCCAGAGGAGUUUGAAGGCUGGGUAAUUGCUAAUGGAUCUAGCUGACUUGUUUCUGGAUCUUUGUGUUCAGUUUGCUGACAGAGGGAGUCUUAUGGGCCCAGAGCAGCCUCUUAAUGAACCAAGCAGAGGCAGAAGGGCAGGACAAGUGGUACUGAGCGACACUCAGGCAAGCGAGUGAACUAAGCAAGACGUGGGGCACGGUUGGACUGUUUCCUUCACUCGGGCCAAAUCAUUUAAUGAUGUUCACAGGAGCCGGAGAGGGAGGGGUUGUUAUUCCAGUCUUCCAUUUCAAAAACAGGGGCUCAGAGAGAUGAAUCACUUGCUGAGGAAGACAGCUGGAAAAAAGGAAGAGACUGGAUUUGACCUUUGGGAUCCUGUCUGAUUCUGAAGACUGUGGUGUAACUGCCAAGUCAGGCUCCCUGGGGCAUAAAGAGAAAUGCCCAGGAGGAGGCA
Bos grunniens (domestic yak) is the source of this 1852-nucleotide long non-coding RNA. The record is from Ensembl. NCBI's taxonomy places the organism in Eukaryota, Metazoa, Chordata, Mammalia, Artiodactyla, Bovidae.